AUGGAUAACGGCUCGAAGGUAGCCACAGGUAUUGUCAGGUAAGGCUUUAAACAAAUAAAAUAAGCUUCUUUGUAUACCAGUAAUAUAUAUUCACAAGUGUACCAGCCAUGGGCACUACUUGAUUUAAUACACAAAAAGAAGUACCUAAUAGACUCGAUCUAAAAACAAAUAACGAAACACGGUCUUUGAUGAACCAAGAGUUCGAUGAAUACAACACACACUCUCUCUUUUUCGGUAGUCACAUGAAGAGCUGCAGCUUAUUAUUCUCAAAACAUAUUGAGAUAUCAAACACUCCAAAAGUAAAAGAAGAUAAGAUAAUAAAUCACUCUAUACAUAAGCUUAACACAAACGCUGCAAGAGUAAAAGAUAAUACGAUAAUAAAUCACUCUAUACAUCUUAACACAAACUUCAGAUAGCCUCAUCAUUAAACAAACUGACAGGUGUAAUUGACAACACGCAUUACAAACAAUACUCGUAAUCCAAAGCCCAGUCUCCUCUCCUGUUUUUCAUAUUAUCAGAUAUCUCACCAUUCAAAAUUUUCUUCCUCUUGAUAUUUAUGCGUUUCAAUAUUAUCACUUGACAUAAAGUAAGAAUGUUCGAUAACACAAUGCAACCCAAAGAAAAAGAGUUGCCGAAGGUGUAGGGAGAUUUGGUGUAUAUUUGACCUGCAAUUGCACCAGAUAAAUUCCCUAAAGUUUGGUUUAGUCCUAAAGCAGUUGCACGCUUAUAAUGAGGGGCCAUGUUAUUGGUCAACCACGAUAUAUUAAGCCCAGUACCGGUGUAAAGAGAGAACGUUAUUAAAUAGCAGGCGAAGUAUUUGACAGCGUCGUUGCCUACACUCAGUAAUAAAAUGUACCCCACAAUGCCUAGUAGAUUGUAGCAAAAGAAAAUGGGACCUCUCAUUUUGAACCUGUCACUCAGAAAGGCUGAAAUUAAAAACACGACACCAGCUAAGAUGUACACAGGUACACUCAAGUACUGGGCCUGCAUGGAGGAAAAACCUAAUCCCAUUUUGAGAAUGGCAGUAAGAAAAGUGCUAAAUCCAUACAUUAUUGUGUCCUGACAAAAUUGUAUCGUGAAAGAAAGGUAUGUUUUGAAAUCUAAAAACGCAUCCUUCACGCAUGACCAGCUAAAUUUCUCAGUGCUACCCAUGUAUUGAGUCCUCUGUUUACUGCGAAUGCUCAUCAAAUGACACUCGCGCUCAUUCAAAAAAGGUAAAACCUCAAACUUUGCUGGCAGCCCAAAGAACAACCACACAGACGCGCACACAGAUAUCAAUCCUUCUAUAAUGUAAAGCCAUCUCCAACCCUCGAGACCUCCACCGUUCUUAACUGAUGAAAGUCCUGUUGCUAUGAGUCCACCAAAAGCUCCAGAUAAUGCAGCGGAUCCAAAGAAGAAAGCAAUUCUUUUAGCCUGCUCUUGAGGCUUAUAGACAAUACUAAUAAUUAGUGUCAUUGCAGGGAAAAAGCCGCCUUCAAAAGUACCUAAAAGAACUCUUAGCGCCAAUAAAGAUUUAUGGGAUCGAACAAAACCCGAGCUCAGGGUUAUUAUCGACCAGGAAAACACCAAAAAGGACAUAUAGUACUUCACAUUGGCUCUUUUUAAAACUAAUACAGCUGGCAACUCAGCUGCCAGGUAAGUUGAAUAGAAAACAGAAACACAAUUGGAGUACUGUCUACUAGUGAGAUUUAAGUCCUCCUUCAUUCCAGAAGUGUAGGCGUUACCAAUAUUGGACCUAUCCAAUGACGACAGGAAAUACAUGAAUGCCAGCAUGGGCAGGAGCCGGAAAUCUAAUUUUUUGACAAGUGCCUUUUCCUCUUGCUCAUCAAUGUAUAAAUCUUCUACCAACUCCGAGUCCACAGCCACCGAGACGACACUUUCUUCACCAGCAUCCUUAACUUUCAUUUUAGAAAAAUCUUCUAAUGCAAUAACCUUCUGGAUAUUGUCAGAUUUAGGUAAACUGUCUGACAUUGUGUAAGCUCUUUUGUUCUUCUAAAGUGUAUUCGAUGAGUUUUCACUUCAAGAGCACCCCUUCUUUUAUAAUUUACCACCAUUUCCACUCCUAAUCUCAACAGCUACCAAGCCGUAGCAAUACGCUCGUGUCAUAUCAGUUUGUGCCGAUCUCUG
RNAcentral lists this long non-coding RNA (2127 nucleotides) under Drosophila guanche. Lineage: Eukaryota; Metazoa; Arthropoda; Insecta; Diptera; Drosophilidae. The record is from RNAcentral.